UACGAACUGUGCGAACGUUAUUCGGAAUCACUGGGCUUAAAGGGUGCGUAGGCGGCUUCCUAAGUCAGGUGUGAAAUCUCCCGGCUCAACCGGGAAACGGCAUUUGAUACUGGGUUGCUCGAGUGAGGUAGGGGUGUGUGGAACUUCCGGUGGAGCGGUGAAAUGUGUAGAUAUCGGAAGGAACGCCAGCAGCGAAAGCGGCACACUGGGCCUUUUCUGACGCUGAGGCACGAAAGCCAGGGGAGCGAACGGG
This 253-nucleotide ribosomal RNA is filed under the name uncultured bacterium. Its description in RNAcentral is "partial 16S ribosomal RNA". It matches the Rfam family "Bacterial small subunit ribosomal RNA", at positions 524 to 776 of the family's 1533-position model. The record is from RNAcentral.